This 253-nucleotide ribosomal RNA is filed under the name uncultured bacterium. Its description in RNAcentral is "partial 16S ribosomal RNA". It matches the Rfam family "Bacterial small subunit ribosomal RNA", at positions 524 to 776 of the family's 1533-position model. The record is from RNAcentral.
UACGAAGGGUGCAAACGUUGCUCGGAAUCAUUGGGCGUAAAGCGCACGUAGGCGGCUCUGCAAGUCGGAUGUGAAAUCCCUCGGCUCAACCGAGGACGUGCAUCCGGAACUGCGGAGCUUGAGUAUGGAAGAGGGUCGCGGAAUCCCCGGUGUAGAGGUGAAAUUCGUAGAUAUCGGGGGGAACACCAGUGGCGAAGGCGGCGACCUGGGCCAAUACUGACGCUGAGGUGCGAAAGCGUGGGGAGCAAACAGG